CGGGGCGUAGCGCAGCUGGCUAGCGCACUUGAAUGGGGUUCAAGAGGUCGUGGGUUCAAAUCUCACCGCUCCGACCA
Molecule: transfer RNA, 77 nt
Filed under: Candidatus Omnitrophota bacterium
Lineage: Bacteria; Pseudomonadati; Candidatus Omnitrophota
Description: tRNA-Pro
Rfam family: tRNA
About the family: Transfer RNA (tRNA) molecules are approximately 80 nucleotides in length. Their secondary structure includes four short double-helical elements and three loops (D, anti-codon, and T loops).
Source: RNAcentral